AUGGCCGGAGCCUACGUGCGCACGGCGAUCAUGCUCGCGCUCGGCUGCGCGCUGGCCAUCGCCGCGGACGCUCUGGAGCCGAGCGGGUGGGUGAGGGCGCACGCCACCUUCUACGGCGGCAGCGACGCCUCCGGCACCAUGGGCGGUGCGUGCGGGUAUGGGAACCUGUACGCGCAAGGGUACGGCACGCGGACGACGGCGCUGAGCACGGCGCUCUUCAGCGACGGCGGCGCGUGCGGGCAGUGCUACAAGGUGGUGUGCGACCGCAAGACGGACAAGACGUGGUGCAAGCCCGGCGUGUCCGUCACCGUCACCGCCACCAACUUCUGCCCGCCCAACUGGGACCUCCCCAGCGACAAGGGCGGCUGGUGCAACCCGCCGCGCCCCCACUUCGACAUGGCGCAGCCCGCCUGGGAGAAGAUCGGCGUCUACCGCGGCGGCAUCAUCCCCAUCAUCUACCAAAGGGUGCCGUGCGUGAAGAAGGGCGGGGUGCGGUUCACCAUCAGCGGCCACGACUACUUCGAGCUGGUGCUGCCGACCAACGUGGCGGCGGCCGGCUCCAUCAGGGCCAUGGACGUCAGGGGCUCCAAGUCCGGGCGACUGGAUGGCGAUGGCGCACAACUGGGGCGCCAACUGGCACUCGCUCGCCUACCUCAACGGCCAGGGGCUCUCCUUCAGGGUCACCAUCACCGACGGCCAGACGCUCGUCUUCGCCGACGUUGUGCCGCCCAGCUGGAGGUUCGGCCAGACCUUCUCAAGUAA
Molecule: ribosomal RNA, 762 nt
Filed under: Triticum aestivum (bread wheat)
Lineage: Eukaryota; Viridiplantae; Streptophyta; Magnoliopsida; Poales; Poaceae
Description: partial small subunit ribosomal RNA
Source: RNAcentral